GCCAGGCGCGGGUCCCGCGUGGAUGCGGAAGCCGGUCCCGGUGAGGUCGGUGCCUGCGAGGGCACAGUCGGGGCGCUGGAAGCCAAAGCCGCCGGCAGAGGGCGCCCCGGGACUGCCGAGCGCGUGGCGCCGGGGUUGGGGCGCUCGCCCGGGGCCGGGCACCGGCCGCAGUCCGGCGUUGACCGCAGCCGUGGACGCUCCCGCUACCCACGCGGAGCGCCAAGUGAGCGCCUUCGGGGCGCAGCGGGGCGCACCGGCCAGGCGCGCGGCUGCUCGGAGCCCUCCUGGUGAGCGGUGAGUAUGCGCGCCCGCGGGGCACGUCGCACCCUAGUUGGGGGCACUUGGAGGCAGCGCAGAUCCGGCCGGGGCGGGCGUGGGAGAGUGGGCAAGGUCCCUUUUCUGUUUGGUGUGUGGGAAGGGCUUGGGGUGGAUGGACCCCAGGAGCGCGCCGGAUGAUGAGCAGAGCUUUGCUUUCAGGCGGCUCGGGCUCACUUGAGGUUCUAACAUCGGAUUUUUUCUCGCGGGCCCCUGUCGCGUGCUGCCCCGGGGCCCGGGGGCCCGGGGUUUGGCGGGGGUAAGCCAGCGCGGGCGAGUGCUCACCUGGGCGUCCCCCACUCCUUUCGCCCGCGACACCAUCCAGGGGAACCACGUGCGGCUGUCGCUCGCAACUCUGCCUGUCAAGCGAAGCCCGCCUCCAGGGCAGGGGAGGGGACGCGGGGGCGGGGUGGGCUGUGCCCCGCGGGAACCGGGCUGGCCCGUGCGCCUGCCGGUGCCAGCUCGGCUCUCUCUGCCUGGUGUUCCCACGGGGUCCUGGGAGGCAGCGGGCAGCCCCGCAGGGAGGCGCAGGACUCUUCCCCGAAGGACUAGAGGCCUCUCGAGGGGCGCCCGGGCACUUGGUUCCAGAAGAAGGGAAGCAAAGGAAAGAAGCGGCCCCAGUGACUGGUCCUGAGAGCGCCCUCUCCCCAGGAUGCGCCGAGCGCCCGGGAGCCCUUUUCCCAGGUUUCCUCCGCUUUGAACCAUCUCUGGCCAUUCCAGGCAGUGGGGCAGCGCCAGCUCUCUGUGGAAUUGCCCCAGGAUCCUUCCCCCAAACCCGCCCCGGUGAUUUGUGCGCAUCGGGAGCGGACCCCGGGCUGCGCGCGCCGGGCAGCACUCAGGCGCGCCUCCUGGGCGUUGCGCAGCCGCGGCGCCUCGCGAAGCCGGCUCCCCGAGCCCCCGGGGCUUUGAGAGAGACCACCCCAAGGCAAGGGGAGCUGCGGCGGCGGAGCCAGGGGCUUGGAGGAGCAAGGCAUGUAUUUUCAGCUGCGCCUCAGAAGAGGAGAAUUCUGCCAUCACCAGAGAGGCAACAGCCCUGAAGUGUGACUACAGCUGACUAGCUUGGCAGAGGCCUGGGAGUCUCUGGGUCGAUAGCUUAGAAUAUGCUAAAAAGUCAGUGCUUUCCACGGGGAAUUGAAGGGCCAGCUGGUCCCCGUGACAGUGACCUGGAGCAAAGGAGUCAGAAGACAGUCGCAGAGAGCAAGAGGGACCUUCCAAGGGGCCGACUUGGACUGCGGAGGGCAGGCUCCUGCCACAGAAUUGUCGCAGCCCUCUGAUGGAAUGCUGGUGAGCUCUUCCACCCAGGGGAGCAAGUGGGACUUCCAGGGGGCUGCCUGGCUAACCAGGACUCCUCCAGGUCUGACUGACCCCUGAUCCCUGCUUAGGAACUUGACAGGUGUCCAAGCACCUU
RNAcentral lists this long non-coding RNA (1723 nucleotides) under Camelus dromedarius (Arabian camel). Its description in RNAcentral is "lncRNA (ENSCDRG00005004106.1)". The record is from RNAcentral. Lineage: Eukaryota; Metazoa; Chordata; Mammalia; Artiodactyla; Camelidae.